AAAUGUCAGAAAUCAGCCUGCUUACAAAAAAAGGCCAAAGACAAGAGGGUUGAAAAGGCGCACCUUUUCCUUGAUGAGUGUAAAGGAGGAAGAAGUAAGGAAGUAGUGGUAGAAUUAACAUGACUUCUGGAGAACUGAAAAGAGGAACAGGUUUUGAAGAGCUUUAAGAGGAGAGCUGGAAAAAGAAAAGUGAGAGCUGAAUGUCUCCCAUGAAACAAAAGACAAAAGUACGGACGGAGAGUGACACUGAAGAGGAGCUCAAACCCCUGUUAGUGCAGAAGAAUCAGCUUCAGCUUCCCCAAACAGCUGAUCGUACCACUCGGGCUGCAUGCCUGCAGAGUGAUAGUGUGGUUGGGAUUGAUUAAAAACAAGGAAUCUCGACCCAGAAAGAUGAAAGAAGAGAAGAAGGGUUUCCGGUACAGGUGCGGAUAUCGGAAUAAAAAACGUCACCUGACUUCCUCUGACUGGAUAGAAGGGAGCAGAGAGGAACAAGGUCAGCUUUUGGAGCAUUCACAGAGAGAGCAGAGAGAAACGGUGGCUGUACCAGUCAGGUGGAGGAAGAGGCUACUCUUAUUAUUCAAGCUGGACCGAGGUAUCUGAUCCGUCCUCAGUGACUUCUUGGCUUUCACAGUCACACCUUAUGCACAUGCAUCCUCAACCAGGAUUCAGACUACAGACCAGGACUAAUAAUCAGUUUAUACUUCUGGAUUGACUGCUCAAUAGAGACUUUAGAGCUUCUGAUUCUUUACCAGUUUUUGUUAUCUCUUAGUAACUCGUUAUUUUUGCAUGAGGGGGUGAAAAUCAUUUUGUCCUGCUUUAAUACUUGAUUGAAAAUGACACCAGAACCUUUUCACUACAUCUGCAGAGAUGGAGGUUCAAUUUAUUGAUUUCUGCAGACUUGAAUAAAGUUGCAAUCUACAUAUAAAUGGCUCAAAUGAGCUCAUGUUGAUGGUAAUUGGUAGAUUUCUAUGAAUUGACCAUUUGCUUGGUCACAUAGAAGU
Long non-coding RNA from Notolabrus celidotus (New Zealand spotty), 1001 nucleotides. RefSeq lists it as uncharacterized. The record is from RefSeq and is a predicted model, not a curated record. Lineage: Eukaryota; Metazoa; Chordata; Actinopteri; Labriformes; Labridae. The transcript is spliced from 3 exons.